CAAAAACUGCUUUUACUACAGAGGAUCUUGGUGGACUUACCAUGACUAGGGAGAAGGUAUUAAGUAAACUGAUGGCCUUAAAGUUAGAUACUGAAAAACAAUGAGAGCAUUCUCAUUACCAUGAAGGCUCUCCCUUUCAGAAUGAUGGGCACAACUUCCAAAUGAGAUUUUUAAGCAGCACCUGGCAAAUACUUGGGAAAGUUUCAUGGUUUAGCAGAAAGAUCAGAAACAUAGGGCAAAGUGAAAACCUCAUUAAAACUGGUUUAGAAAUCAAAUCAUGUUGAAUAAAUGUCUUUAAUAGUGCA
Rhincodon typus (whale shark) is the source of this 305-nucleotide long non-coding RNA. RefSeq lists it as uncharacterized. Lineage: Eukaryota; Metazoa; Chordata; Chondrichthyes; Orectolobiformes; Rhincodontidae. The transcript has 2 exons. The record is from RefSeq and is a predicted model, not a curated record.